RNAcentral lists this ribosomal RNA (1371 nucleotides) under uncultured Thermotogae bacterium. RNAcentral describes it as "bacterial SSU rRNA". It matches the Rfam family "Bacterial small subunit ribosomal RNA". Lineage: Bacteria; Thermotogati; Thermotogota; Thermotogae. The record is from RNAcentral.
AGAGUUUGAUCAUGGCUCAGGGUGAACGCUGGCGGCGUGCUUGACACAUGCAAGUCGAACGGUAUGUGGCAACACAUAGAGUGGCGAACGGGUGAGUAACACGUGGGAACGUACCCUACGCAGGGGGAUAACUGACCGAAAGGACAGCUAAUACCGCAUAAGACCGAAAGGUGAAAGGUGCAAAUGCAUCGGCGAAGGAGCGGCCCGCGGACCAUCAGCUAGUUGGUGGGGUAAGAGCCUACCAAGGCGACGACGGUUAGCCGGCGUGAGAGCGUGGCCGGCCACAAGGACACUGAGAUACGGGUCCUACUCCUACGGGAGGCAGCAGUGCGGAAUUUUAGAUAAUGGAGGCAACUCUGAUCUAGCGACGCCGCGUGCAGGAAGAAGGUCUUCGGAUUGUAAACUGCUGUGGUAAGGGAAAAAUGUCAUGUAGUGGACUACAUGAAGGGAUGGUACUUUACUAGAAAGCCCCGGCUAACUACGUGCCAGCAGCCGCGGUAAUACGUAGGGGGCGAGCGUUACCCGGAAUCACUGGGCGUAAAGGGAGCGUAGGUGGCCUGACAUGUCAACUGUGAAAACCCGGAGCUCAACUCCGGACUUGCAGUUGAAACUGCCAGGCUUGAGGACGGUAGAGGAAGACGGAACUGCCAGUGUAGGGGUAAAAUCCUUAGAUAUUGGCAGGAACGCCGGUGACGAAGGUGGUUUUCUGGGCCGGUUCUGACACUGAUGCUCGAAAGCCAGGGGAGCGAACGGGAUUAGAUACCCGGGUAGUCCCAGCCGUAAACGAUGAAUGCUAGGUGUGGGUGUCGCAGGCAUCCGUGCCGCAGCUAACGCGAUAAGCAUUCCGCCUGGGGAGUACGGUCGCAAGAUUGAAACUCAAAGGAAUUGACGGGGGCCCGCACAAGCGGUGGAGCACGUGGUUUAAUUCGAUGCAAACCGAAGAACCUUACCUGGGUUUGACAUGUACGUGUACUGAGGUGAAAGCUGAGGGCCCAUCUAUGGGAGCGUACACAGGUGCUGCAUGGCUGUCGUCAGCUCGUGUCGCGAGAUGUUGGGUUAAGUCCCGCAACGAGCGCAACCCCUGCAUUCAGUUGCCAUCGGUGAGCCGGGCACUCUGGAUGGACUGCCGGCGACAAGCCGGAGGAAGGUGGGGAUGACGUCAAGUAUCAUGGCCCUUAUGUCCAGGGCGACACACGUGCUACAAUGGCCGGCACAGCGGGAAGCGAAGGGGCGACUCUGAGCGGAUCCUUAAAGCCGGUCCCAGUUCGGAUUGCAGUCUGCAACUCGACUGCAUGAAGUUGGAAUCGCUAGUAAUCGUGGAUCAGCCAAGCCGCGGUGAAUACGUUCCCGGGCCUUGUACACACCCCCGUC